GUCAGGAUGGUGUAGUUGGUUAUCACAUGCGCCUCACACGCGCAAGGUCUCCGGUUCGAUCCCGGAUCUUGACA
This 74-nucleotide transfer RNA is filed under the name Dimargaris cristalligena. The record is from Rfam by way of RNAcentral. Lineage: Eukaryota; Fungi; Kickxellomycota; Dimargaritomycetes; Dimargaritales; Dimargaritaceae.